AAUAAACACAGUGAUGAUUUUCCGUGUCUAACUUUAAUCGUCCGUCUUAUUUAAUUUUUUUUAAAAAAACUAAAAAACAUAAGUCGCGCAUAAAGUAUUAUUCAUAUUUUAUAAUCCAAUAACAAUAAAAAUACGAUUCAUAAAAAAUCUCAAAUAAGACGGAUGAAAUUUAUAGAUGCGUUAUUUUGAGACUGAGGUAGUA
Non-coding RNA from Oryza nivara, 202 nucleotides. The record is from Rfam. NCBI's taxonomy places the organism in Eukaryota, Viridiplantae, Streptophyta, Magnoliopsida, Poales, Poaceae.